RNAcentral lists this transfer RNA (73 nucleotides) under Enyalioides laticeps. Its description in RNAcentral is "tRNA-Asn". The record is from RNAcentral. Lineage: Eukaryota; Metazoa; Chordata; Lepidosauria; Squamata; Hoplocercidae.
CUAGACAGGUGGGCCUCGAUCCCACAAAAACUCAGUUAACAGCCAAACACCCAAUCCAGUGGGCUUCUGUCCG